This 781-nucleotide non-coding RNA is filed under the name Spondylis buprestoides. The record is from RNAcentral. Lineage: Eukaryota; Metazoa; Arthropoda; Insecta; Coleoptera; Cerambycidae.
AAAAAAAUUUUAUUUUUAUUUAAAAAUUAAAUUAAAAUUAAUUUUACAUGUAAAUUUUUGUAUAAAAAUUAAUUUAAUUUGAAAAAUUAAAUUUUGUAAUUUUAUAUUCAGUGAAUAAAUUUAAAAAUUAAAGAAAUUUAGAUUUAGGUAAAUUUUUUAUUAUUAACAAAAUUUGUGCCAGCAGUUGCGGUUAUACAAAUAAUAAAAUUUAAUUAAUUUAGUAUUAAUUAAUAAAUUAAUAAAUUUUAACUUAAGAUUUAUUAGGUGAAAUUUUAAAUUUUAAAAUUAAAUUAAUUUUAUUUAUGAUAUUAGGAAAUUUAUUAAAUAAACUAGGAUUAGAUACCCUAUUAUUUUAAAUGUUAAUUAUAAAGAUUAAAUUAGUAUUAGUUAUGUUCUUGAAAAUUAAAGAUUUUGGCGGUAUUUUAGUCUAUUCAGAGGAACCUGUUCUAUAAUUGAUAGUCCACGAUUUAAUUUACUUUUUUUAUUAAUUUAUAUAUCGUCGUAGUUUGAAUUUUUUAAAAGAAUUAUAAUAUUCAAUUUUUUAGUUAAAAGUGAAAUCAGAUCAAGGUAUAGUUUAUAAAAAAGAAGAAAUGGGUUACAUUAAUAAAAAUUUUUGGAUUUUUUUAUUUAAAAAAGAAUGAAUAUGGAUUUGAAAGUAAAUUAAUUUAAUUUAUUUAAUUGAUUUAAGCUCUAAAAUAUGUACAUAUUGCCCGUCGCUUUCACUUUAAAGUGAAAUAAGUCGUAACAAAGUAGGUUUACUGGAAAGUGAACCUAGAUAGAA